Molecule: ribosomal RNA, 234 nt
Filed under: uncultured Actinomycetales bacterium
Lineage: Bacteria; Bacillati; Actinomycetota; Actinomycetes; Actinomycetales
Description: partial 16S ribosomal RNA
Rfam family: Bacterial small subunit ribosomal RNA
Source: RNAcentral
CUAACGGGUGAGUAACACGUGAGUAACCUGCCCACAACUUUGGGAUAACGCUAGGAAACUGGUGCUAAUACUGGAUAUGUGCUCCUGCUGCAUGGUGGGGGUUGGAAAGCUCCGGCGGUUGUGGAUGGACUCGCGGACUAUCAGCUUGUUGGUGGGGUAGUGGCCUACCAAGGCGGCGACGGGUAGCCGGCCUGAGAGGGUGACCGGCCACAUUGGGACUGAGAUACGGCCCAG